RNAcentral lists this ribosomal RNA (291 nucleotides) under uncultured microorganism. RNAcentral's name for it is "partial 16S ribosomal RNA". It matches the Rfam family "Bacterial small subunit ribosomal RNA", at positions 505 to 796 of the family's 1533-position model. The record is from RNAcentral.
GUGCCAGCAGCCGCGGUAAUACAGAGGGUGCAAGCGUUAAUCGGAAUUACUGGGCGUAAAGCGCGCGUAGGUGGUUUGUUAAGUUGGAUGUGAAAGCCCCGGGCUCAACCUGGGAACUGCAUCCAAAACUGGCAAGCUAGAGUAUGUAGAGGGUGGUGGAAUUUCCUGUGUAGCGGUGAAAUGCGUAGAUAUAGGAAGGAACAGGUAGCUGACGAGGCGACACCUGGACUGAUACUGACACUGAGGUGCGAAAGCGUGGGGAGCAAACAGGUAAAGAUACCCUGGUAGUCC